UACGGAGGGUGCAAGCGUUAUCCGGAUUUACUGGGUUUAAAGGGUGCGUAGGCGGUCCUAUAAGUCAGUGGUGAAAUACUCUAGCUUAACUAGAGGGGUGCCAAUGAUACUGUAGGACUUGAGUACAGAUGAGGUAGGCGGAAUUGACGGUGUAGCGGUGAAAUGCAUAGAUAUCGUCAAGAACACCUAUAGCGAAGGCAGCUUACUGGGCUGUAACUGACGCUGAGGCACGAAAAGUGUGGGGGAUCAAAACAGG
Molecule: ribosomal RNA, 256 nt
Filed under: uncultured bacterium
Lineage: Bacteria
Description: partial 16S ribosomal RNA
Rfam family: Bacterial small subunit ribosomal RNA
Source: RNAcentral